AGCCCCGAGGUGUUACACGUCAAAAUGCAAGUUUGAAAUAGGACCCAAUUAGGCCCCGGGGCUU
This 64-nucleotide transfer RNA is filed under the name Enyalioides oshaughnessyi. Its description in RNAcentral is "tRNA-Cys". RNAcentral also lists the same sequence under 1 other name. The record is from RNAcentral. Lineage: Eukaryota; Metazoa; Chordata; Lepidosauria; Squamata; Hoplocercidae.